RNAcentral lists this microRNA precursor (71 nucleotides) under Nestor notabilis (Kea). RNAcentral describes it as "mir-148/mir-152 microRNA precursor family". It matches the Rfam family "mir-148/mir-152 microRNA precursor family". Rfam says of the family: The hairpin precursors (represented here) are predicted based on base pairing and cross-species conservation -- their extents are not known. Lineage: Eukaryota; Metazoa; Chordata; Aves; Psittaciformes; Psittacidae. The record is from Rfam by way of RNAcentral.
CCGGGGCGAGGUUCUGUCCUACACUCGGCUGUGGCUCAGUCAGUCAGUGCAUCACAGAACUUGGUCCUGGG